GACAGAGGUUGCAAACGUUGUUCGGAAUCACUGGGCAUAAAGCGCACGUAGGCGGCCAACUAAGUCAGGUGUGAAAUCCCCCGGCUCAACCGGGGAACUGCGCCUGAUACUGGUUGGCUUGAGAACGGUAGGGGUGAGCGGAACUCCAGGUGGAGCGGUGAAAUGCGUAGAUAUCAGGAGGAACACCUGUGGUGUAGACAGCUUACUGGACCAUUUCUGACGCUGAGACACGAAAGCGUGGGUAGCAAACAGG
Molecule: ribosomal RNA, 253 nt
Filed under: uncultured prokaryote
Description: partial 16S ribosomal RNA
Rfam family: Bacterial small subunit ribosomal RNA
Source: RNAcentral